Molecule: long non-coding RNA, 647 nt
Organism: Paramormyrops kingsleyae
Lineage: Eukaryota; Metazoa; Chordata; Actinopteri; Osteoglossiformes; Mormyridae
Source: RefSeq, a predicted model, not a curated record
CUUUAAUCGCGCCCACGAAGUAAUGCCGCUCAACGCGUUUACAUGCACAAUAAAUAGUCACGUUUAUAGCUCGACUAUGCCAUUGAAUCGGACUACUGUUCUUGUCCCAGUAUACGUACACGGGAAGGGAAUCAAUUUAUUGAUCGAAGCAUGUCUGACUUCGCUGCAGUAGCCACCAAAAAGAGAGCUGCGGCUGCUGCAACUGGUGGGGGCCCACCGCCAACAGCCUGUACCCCAGCCGAGGUGAUGGCCCACCGCCAACAGCCUGUACCCCAGCCGAGGUGAUGGCCCACCGCCAACAGCCUGUACCCCAGCCGAGGUGAUGGCCCUUGCACAGAACCGUGCACGGCCUAUUAUUGAGGGGAUUGAGGGAGGAACAUCCUCAGAUGUUGUUCUUUCUAGUAAUGUGCAAAGUAGUGGAUGGUGUCUUGACCUUCUUGGAUCCUGAACAACAGUCUUUAGAAUCUGUUGUGAGUAUUGUAUUUAAUCAUAUACUUUAAUAUACUGCAAUAACUGUGGGUUUUGUAUUUAAUGUUCCAGUCCAAUGCCUUUAUCUGCUGCUAAUUCUGUCAUGUAUUGUGGUUUUUGUUCACUUAAGUUAAUUCUAUAAGUUAAGUCCCGCUUCUAAUGGAAAUAGCUUUACUUGU